Molecule: ribosomal RNA, 632 nt
Filed under: Augyles maritimus
Lineage: Eukaryota; Metazoa; Arthropoda; Insecta; Coleoptera; Heteroceridae
Description: eukaryotic LSU rRNA
Rfam family: Eukaryotic large subunit ribosomal RNA
Source: RNAcentral
GGAGUCUAGCAUGUGCGCGUAGUCAUUGGGACUAGCGAAACCUAAAGGCAAAAUGAAAGUGAAGGCGCGCUCUACGCGCGCCGAGGGAGGAUGGGCCGCGUCACGACGCGGCCCCGCACUCCCGGGGCGUUUCGUUCUCAUUGCGAGAUGAGGCGCACCCAGAGCGUACACGCUGGGACCCGAAAGAUGGUGAACUAUGCCUGGUCAGGACGAAGUCAGGGGAAACCCUGAUGGAGGUCCGUAGCGAUUCUGACGUGCAAAUCGAUCGUCGGAACUGGGUAUAGGGGCGAAAGACUAAUCGAACCAUCUAGUAGCUGGUUCCCUCCGAAGUUUCCCUCAGGAUAGCUGGUGCUCGUUUUACGAGUCUCAUCCGGUAAAGCGAAUGAUUAGAGGCAUUGGGGUCGAAACGGCCUCAACCUAUUCUCAAACUUUAAAUGGGUGAGAUCUCCGGCUUGCUUAGGCAUUGAAGCCGCGAGACUUAGGAUCAGAGUGCCAAGUGGGCCAUUUUUGGUAAGCAGAACUGGCGCUGUGGGAUGAACCAAACGCAGAGUUAAAGCGCCUAAAUCGACGCUUAUGGGAUACCAUGAAAGGCGUUGGUAACUUAAGACAGCAGGACGGUGGCCAUGGAAGUC